GCAUUCCAGGCCCAGGACCUCAGUGAGGACGACCUCAAAAGGGAUCUCUUACAUGGUCGGUGACAUUGGGCUCCCUAUGAUCAAUUUUACGCACCUGAAGUGGAGGGUCGCGAACAAUCAUUCCCGGCCCAGGACCCUGGUGAGGAGGAUCUAGAACACCAAGGUGUGCAGGCUCGAUUUGUAAAUGGGCAGUGACCAAACGCUACCGUGUGCCAUCAACUCUGCCAAAGGUAUGGCUGACAAGAAGGAGUGUGCACAAAAUCGAACGAGAGAUAUUCUUGCGAAUGCAAAGCGUCAUGGUGAUUACUUAAGGGGGCCUCUGAUUUAUUAAAAGGAAAAAGAAAUAAAAGUGUGGUUUAUUUUUUCGCGAGCAAGCGAAAACAGCGUCCCAGA
Long non-coding RNA from Rhipicephalus microplus (southern cattle tick), 393 nucleotides. The record is from RefSeq and is a predicted model, not a curated record. NCBI's taxonomy places the organism in Eukaryota, Metazoa, Arthropoda, Arachnida, Ixodida, Ixodidae.